Molecule: long non-coding RNA, 722 nt
Organism: Ornithodoros turicata
Lineage: Eukaryota; Metazoa; Arthropoda; Arachnida; Ixodida; Argasidae
Exons: 2
Source: RefSeq, a predicted model, not a curated record
CGCGCCACCACGGGAGCGCUGCAAUAACGCGAUUCAUUCGCUAGGGUCCUCGAGUGGAAAUAUCUAUUCCGUUUAAAGAGAUCUAUAGCUGUUCCUGUAUUGCAUGAAAUAUCAAGCCAGACGUAAGCCCAUGCAACAGUUUCCCCGAGAAUGCUUUUAUUCAAAAAUCAACCAAUGAAGACCCACGGCACAGGCGGCAACAAAUCACUCUCUCCACUGAUGUCCACACUGCUGAUCGCAGCACUUGUAAAAUGUCGUCAUCGGCUCGUCUGCGGACCUCGUCUGGAUCUGCAUAAAGUAGGCCCUCUCGUGACCGCACUUGGGACAUUUUUCUUCCGUCGAGUCCACGUUUUCCCACGCAGCUGCUCCGCCCAAGACGUCGUCCACGUCCUUCAACCUGGGGUAUUUCCGGUUGGAAAUCUUUUGUCGGAUAUUGUAGACGUAGGGACAGGUGUUGCAAGCGAAGCGGUAGCACAAGAGGCCGUUCUCCACUAUGAGGAUGUUGGCGCACGUGGGACAGAACAGCAGCAUGGUUGUCCGGUUUGCAGACGGUCUUCACUUCAGGAAGAGGAUGUAGAAGCCGGUAGCGACGCAAGUGAGCGAAACAAACAGGUGGAGUCUCGUACCGAUGACGGAAGCUGGGGAGUAGGAUGGAACAUGUAACAUGUCAGUACUGGGUAGUAAUAUUGCAUUAUAUUAUUAAUAAACAUUUUAAUUAAUUA